AGAGUCCUUUCAGGAGCAUCCCAGAGAGGGAGGCCUUCUUCCUCCCUGGCCAACCAAACCUCCUAACAGAAGUGCUUCGACAGUGCUCACUGAGCUCUGGGUCAUCCCCUCAUCAUAGCCAGUGGCCCCAAACUCACUCUUGGCUCCAGCCAUGCAGGUAAGGGGAGGGAUUCCUUGGAGGCUUGGCCUUGCACCCUGAGGGAGCUGGGAGCCAGGAGGGACUCAGAUGGAGGGGCAGAGAGAGAGCUGAGGCUGUGGUACGAGGCCCAGAGGCAUCUCCUUCCCUCCUGACAUCAUGGCGAAGCUCCUGCCUAGACCCAGUCUAGGAGCCGGGAAGGGAGAGAGAGAAAGGAAGGGGAGCAAAUGGAGGGGCAGGAAGGGGAGGGCCACAGUGUACAAUGAACCAUAGAUGCCUUUGGCCCCAAGCCAACUUCCUUAGUGAGCUUCUGGAGCCUGGCCAGCCUGGAAAACAUUGCUCCGCUGGUGGGUAAGGAGUGGGCACCUAAAGAGACAGCGCUUUCAUUUCUCCUGAGAGGACUCACUUUCACUUGGGAACCUUGCUGGUGGCUAGAGCAGGAAUGGCUGAGGAGCCGGUUUCAGGUUCUCAAUGAAUAGACAGUGAUCUGGGGCUUUUCUCAAAAAGCCUAAGAUAUUCUCACACAGAACAAAGGCUCCAGAGUAAUAAAGACAAUUCAGAGCUGGGAGGUGGGGGUGGGAGGGUUUCCUCUGACCCAGGAACAGUGAGACUUAGAUGAAGGAACAUGGGCUGGCUAGCUGCAUGGUCCUGGACAAGUUGCUUAACCUCUUUGGGUCUCCAUUUCUUAUCUGACCAAUGGGGCUGAUGCUUCCUUACAGGAUUGCUGUAAGGAGUCAGCAAUGACAGAUGUGGUAACACAUCUGAAAGCACCUGGCACCUUGACCUGGCACAUUGUAGACGCUCAACAAAUUGUUCUUUUUCUCCUGAUGGUGUAGUGUCUUGUCAAGUUUGUGCUUAUCUAUCCAAACCUCCAUCCAGAUAUCUAUCUAUUAUCUAUCUUCAUCACCAUUAUCUGUCAAUCUGUCUAUCCUGUGUUUAAUCUUCCCAAUCAUAUUGUUAGUAUUUUCAUUGCAAGGGGCUUGAAUUGUACUUCUAUGUAGACAUCCAGUAAAUAUGUUAAGAGACUGAUUACCCCUGGUGGCCAGGGAAAGCCAGAUCUUAAGUGAAAGUAGGUAUGAUAAGGCGUCUUAUCUCCCACUUUCAAACAAUGCUUCAUUCUAGUGUUGGCUUCUUCUUAGAUUUUCUUCAGAUCAAGUGAAGAAAUGCCUGGGAGGGGAAUUUCCAGGAAAACUAGGUUCUUCUCCAGUAUUCCCAGGCAUUCUUGCUCCGUGGAUCCAGAAACCCCAGCAACCUCUGCACCACACCUCAUUUCCAAGUGUGACCUCUGGUCUCAGGAGGCCUAAGGUCAGUGUUAGGACGUUCAGGAUGUUCAGAUGUACUGCCCACAGGAUACUGAUCUCAGUGUCCACCUCUUACUCCACAUGGUCAUACUCUCUCCUAAGUGUCCCGGAAAAACAAAGGCAAGAGGACAUAGAUAUGUCUUGCCUUGUACCUCAAUCAUAAUGCAUGCAGGAUACUAAGUCAUAAUAACACCGUACAUUUGUAUAGUGCUUUGCAGUUUUCAGAGCCUUUGGCUGUGCAUAUGCUUUAUCUUUGAGCCAUAUAAUAAUCCUGUGAAGCAGGCAGGGCUUUUUAAAAAAUUGUUAUUUUACAGAUGAGGAAGCUGUGCUAGUCAGCCAGCUAUUAAGGGGUGGAGUCGGCAUGGACUGGAAUCCAGGUCUUUGAAUUUCAAAUCAGCCGCUUACCCAAGUCCAUUCAAUAAUGGUGGGGAGUACAGUGAAACAGAGUUCAACUAAAGCAGAGGACAGAGAAAACCUGUGGGUCUUCCCCUUGCCUGGGACACUGUAGUGGGAAAAGAUUACUUUUUGCACCUGUGCUUCCCAGGAAAUACUGCCUGUCAGAACUGAAUACCCUUCUCACCUGCAAUCCCAGCUGGAACGUCUAGGACAAUCUCAACCCUCUCAUCUUCCUUCUUCCCCCACCCUCAACACCUGAUGGACCCUCACUCUUGAUACCUUGUUCUGUCUUAUCUCCCAACGCCUGGCUCAGCAACUCCUCAUCUUAGAAAUGGGCAUCUCCAAAAAGAGGCCUGAAUGGCUCUGUGCAAGAUGAGCCUUUGAAUUAUAGGAGAAAAUAUUAGAACUUCUAUGGCUUCAAACAAUGGGAGAGAUAUUGUACUUUACUAAUAUUUACUAUGUGCAUGGAUACUGGCUGCUCACCAGUGUGAUAGGAAGACUGUCCAAGGUCAUGUAUAGCUGGGCCAAGCCACGUGAACCUGAGGAUGGAGUGGGGGCUUUACAACAUGGAGGGCUUGGUCUUGCAAUCCUUUGCUUUGGGACCAGGUUAAAUGGAUUGAUGAUUUGUUUUCACCAAAUUAACCCUAAAUUGAUGUGUGGCUUAAAAAAAGAUUAUUGCAAAAAUGAACUACUGAAAGGAGAUAACACUAGUAAUGGAAACAGCAAGAAAAUGGUAGCACUGACACUUCACUCAUCGUCACCUAAUUAAACAUCUUCCAAAUGAAGAGUUUUCAAACUCUUGUUAAAAAUAUAAAAGUGCCAAUGGCAAAUGUGGAAGAACAAUUGAUCGACAUCAGAGAAGAUGACAUUUCCUAACUGAAUUUAGACACAAUUUGCAUAAUUGGUAAGAUAGAAAAAUUAUUAUUAUAGCAAGCACAGCCAAUGUAGUUAGUGCCUUUUCCAUUUGGAUUUCUGCACUUUAGUGAAGUAUCAUUUUUUUCAAUUCUGAAAGUGAUUAGAACUAAAUAUCAAAAUAAUUUGAACUUAAAACUAGUCUUCUAAAUAUCAUAAUGCAGAAGCUUAAUAUGAAAAUAAUACAAACAUGAUAAAACAUAACAACCUCAGUACAAAUAUUAGUUUUCAUAAAAAUUUGUUCCAGUGAAAAGGGUUUUCCUGGGUAUGGUUAACAAAAUAAAAGCUUAAAAAGUAGUGUUAUGUCAUCUUUCAUCUUUAUCUCACCCAUUUAAAUGCUUUUUUUUUUGUAUAUCUUAUCACACAUACCAUAUAUUAGGACAUAAGACAGUCUCUAAAUAAAUUAAUGUACACAGGUUGAGGACAUAGGAUCAAAGUGUGGAGACAGUUGGGCCAGGCUAUUGAGGAAGUUCCUGACUGUUUUUUCAACUUCCAAAUAUAUUCCCCUCUUGACAAUCACCAGGCCGAUCUUCGUAAAAACCCAGAGCGGAUCAGGUCACUUCUCUGAUUUCAGCUCUGUGUUGAGGUGAGUGGGUAGCAAAGGGUGCCAGCCCUAGUUGCUGGGCAACUUCAGGGGCUGGGCAGGCAAUGUGAUGCAUGAAGGCUGAGUGUAACGACUGGUGGGAACCGUGGUAAACAGGAGAGUUCUUUGGCUAAAAACAUUCCAAUCUGAAAAAAUGUAAACCUGGACAGGUGACAAAAAAUACCGCUGUGGCCUGGAUCCUAUGUGGGGGCUGGCAAUGGUAAGUUCGGAGCAGGUCAAGACCAACCUUGUUUCUCUGGAAAACGCUGUGCAUCUCUCCAGCAAGAUGAUGAUGGGGCAUCGCUGAUUUGGAGGUACAGCAUUUCAUCUGUAAACGUGUCUGAACGUACAUCCUUAGGUGCACUCACCAUCUGAAAAUUAGAAAGGCCUACAACCACAAGUGAAACUUCCCUUUUCUCCAGUAUUGCUCUGCCUUGCUCUAGGUUUUUGAGGAAUCUGCCACCCUUGUUUGGACAGAACAAUGUCAAGGAACUCCAGAAGGAGAUGGUGAAGGAUGCUUCCCAGUCCCAAGCAUCUCUGGGCCUUGAUGCUUUCCUGCCUGCCUCAGGAGUUCAAUACACCCAUGAGAGGUCCCCAGAUAGCCCACUGAAGAGCCAGGUCCAGAAGCGAAGUUCCAUGGGGAGUGCUCAGCCCAGCCUUUCUCUCUUCACUGGAUGAGCUGAUCUCUUCUCUGCAGGUGCAAACCCAUAGUAGGGGCCACUGCCCCAGGCUGCUCCGAGCACGCUUUCCGUCAAAGUUGCCAGGGUCUCAGAGGCUGGAUGAUCAGGUGACUGUGCCCUGCCUUGCUGUCCUGCUCUGGAGCAGCACUCUUUGCCCUCGGUUGGCAGCCAGUUCUAGGGGCUGAGCUGACAUGCUCAUUCCCCUGUCCCCCAGCCCUUAGCCGCUGAGCAGGGCUGGGCUGCAGCAGCCUCUGUGCUCACCCCACCCACCCAUUACCUGCUGUCUCCCCACCUGAGCAGGCCCUCCACCUGCCCACGAUGAAUUUUUCCAUCACUCACCCUGAGAGGCCUCCAGGCCAAACAACCCUGCCUGCUACCUGCCCUGGCAAGUGGGCAGCCUGCUCCAGAAGACACCCUAAGGAAGACACAGAAAUGCCCAGCCAGAACAAUUGGCCAGAAAUCUGGCUCGAGCUGUCUUCAUGAAAAAGAGAUACUAAAUGAAUCUUCACGAAAAAAAGACACUAAAUGAACUUGAAUGGGUGGAUGAAAGCUUCUCUCAUCUUAAAAGGUCACCUCCUUUUACGAGGUCACCAACACAUCCACUAAUUGCAAUUCCCCCUUCUUCCUGUUGGAGUCUUAAUGUAAGAGCUCCUCGUGAAGCUGGGUCCUCUUGCCUCCCUCCAUUUGCUCCCCUCUAUUACACCCCACCCCACCCUCUUUCUAAAAUGCAGAUCCCAUCAUGUCACUCCCUUCCUCAAAAGCCAUCAGUGGCUCCCCAUUGCCUCUAAUAGAAGUUCUAAAUUCCAAAUCAUGCUCGUUCAGGCCCUUCAUGGUCUCUUCCAGCUGCCUUCCCUAGUCCUUACUCCCAUUACAGGCUCACUUUCAGCAUGCUUUAACCUACAUCCCAGACACAGCAAGCAAGUUCUGCCUUCUUUGCCAUUAUGCUUUUGUUUCUUUUACCUGGAGUAAUACCCGCCCUUUCCCAUUUCCCCGCUCUUGAAACCGUACUCAUCCUUCAAGACACACUUCAAAUGGCUCUUCCUUUUCAGAACCUCCUAGCUCAAGUGACUCUCUUUUGUCCCAUAGCACUUUGUCCCCAUAACACAGCCAAGUGCUAGAGUUGAUUGAAUGCACAUUUUUCUUCCCCAGUAAUAAAAUCUCCUUGAAGUCA
Long non-coding RNA from Homo sapiens (human), 5179 nucleotides. RefSeq lists it as uncharacterized. Lineage: Eukaryota; Metazoa; Chordata; Mammalia; Primates; Hominidae. The transcript is spliced from 2 exons. The record is from RefSeq and is a predicted model, not a curated record.